GAUGAACGCUGACAGAAUGCUUAACACAUGCAAGUCGAUGGGGAAGUGGUGCUUGCACCAUGGUAACCAUGGCGGACGGGUGAGUAACGCGUAAGGAACUUGCCUGCGGGACUGGGAUAACAGCAGGAAACUGUUGAUAAUACCGGAUAAGGUCAUUAAGCUGCAUAGCUUAGUGAUGAAAGGAGACGCCUGCGGAGAGCCUUGCGUCCUAUUAGCUAGUUGGAGGGGUAACGGCCCACCAAGGCGAAGAUAGGUAGCCGGCCUGAGAGGGUGGACGGCCACAAGGGGACUGAGAUACGGCCCUUACUCCUACGGGAGGCAGCAGUGGGGAAUAUUGGACAAUGGGGGCAACCCUGAUCCAGCAAUUCUGUGUGCACGAAGACGGUUUUCGGAUUGUAAAGUGCUUUCAGCAGGGAAGAAGGAAGUGACGGUACCUGCAGAAGAAGCGACGGCUAAAUACGUGCCAGCAGCCGCGGUAAUACGUAUGUCGCGAGCGUUAUCCGGAAUUAUUGGGCAUAAAGGGCAUCUAGGCGGCCUUCCAAGUCAGGGGUGAAAACCUGCGGCUCAACCGCAGGCCUGCCUUUGAAACUGAUAGGCUGGAGUACCGGAGAGGUGGACGGAACUGCACGAGUAGAGGUGAAAUUCGUAGAUAUGUGCAGGAAUGCCGAUGAUGAAGAUAGUUCACUGGACGGUAACUGACGCUGAAGUGCGAAAGCCGGGGGAGCGAACAGG
RNAcentral lists this ribosomal RNA (732 nucleotides) under uncultured Leptotrichia sp. RNAcentral's name for it is "bacterial SSU rRNA". It matches the Rfam family "Bacterial small subunit ribosomal RNA", at positions 28 to 776 of the family's 1533-position model. The record is from RNAcentral. Lineage: Bacteria; Fusobacteriati; Fusobacteriota; Fusobacteriia; Fusobacteriales; Leptotrichiaceae.